CAUGUUGGAGAUUUUCUUUUCAUCAAUAUAAACUCUGAUCCUUGCUGAAGUCAUCUCCAUGUCCAUGCCUCGGACCAUCCUCGAUCCACAUUCACAUCCUUGCCGUUGUCUUGUCCGCGCCGCCUGCAGCACGACCAUCUCCCUAUGUCGUCACGCCCAGAUGUACCGCCGUCCCCGUCAAUUUGCAUUCAUCUGGGCCAGGAGGACGUAGACUGCCGUUCCCAACGCUGAUGUUGUCCGCUCCCCAGCCUACAGGAAGCGCUAUUGAAUUGCGACUCAAUCCGGGCGACUUUCCAUGCUGAUCCAUAGAGACCAUUUUCAUAUAUUUCUACACACAUCUCCAAGCUACAUUUGAGGAGAACAUACAGAUGGUCAUAUUAUUUUGUUCAACUAUGAUACAAGAUAGGGAGAUGAUGUGGGUUGCCAUUUUGGAACCUCAAUUACUUCUCAAUUACGUGAAUCACAUGCAGACCGUUUUCAUAUAUUUCUACACAGAUCUCCAAACUACAUUUGGGAGAACAUACAGAUGGUCAUAUUAUUUUGUUCAACCAUGAUACAAGGGAGAUGAUGUGGGUUGCCAUUUUGGAACCAGAGCCUAAGCAAGACCAUUGCAAGGCGAUAUGGGAGCUCAUAAAGUCGCCAUAAAACUACCGUUUAAGACCAGGUUUACUGCAACUCGCAUGAUGCAGCAUGGCAGUGGCGUGGAGGACCAAGCGGGAAGUGAACCAUCAGCCUUUGAGUUACCUGUCACCCUUGGCAUCGAGAAGAUGACACCCAAGCCGUCUUACACCACAGAUAUUGGCGGUUGGUCCAGCAGAUGAAAGUUAGACAAAGCCAGUAUACACUCACUAUCACAAUCACUAUCACCGGGAAGCCCAACAUCAAGUGGAACUAUGUUGCCGGACCAGAGCACCAAGUAGACUGAUCAAGUUCCCACAGUUUUCACAGGUAACCUCCGGUGAGGAUGCAAGCUGCAAGCGCUCCUCGAGUCAGCCUGUCCCGAAAACCCGAUGCACAAUAAGGCAUGGAACGUCCCAGGCAAGGAGUUAUCAUGGCAGCAGAUGUCUAAAACAUUGCACGUGCCCUGAGAAGAAAGAUAGGACAGAACAAAUGCUGGCAAAGAUGAAGGAACAGAGAGUGUUUCUUCUGCAAAUGAGGCAUGAGAAGAAAGAUUGAAGAGAUGAAUCCACUGAUUCCAACGUAUAGUGGAUGCUUCUACAACACCAAGUCAAGACACCACCUCCAGUGACAAAAAUCGUAUUCACAAGAGGCGAUAUGUACUCUCUUAUUUAGUGUAAAUAACUUAAAUAUUUAUGCUCCGGUUCUGAUGUAUAGUGUACAUAUUUGUUGCUACUUUUGCUAGGUGGAGCGAGAUAAUGCAAGUAGUUGAGUAUCGCCGCGGAGACGAAGGUGGAGGUAGACUUGAGAGAUAGAAGAAUGUGUUAAAGGUGGCAUAAACCUCUUCAAAGUUUCCCUCGAGAUCGAAGAAUGUGUUAAACGUGGCAUAAAUCUCUUCAAAGUUUCCCUCGAGAUCGAAAAAUGUACAUGGCGAAGCGAUUGGGGUCGAAAGCCAUGACCUCUCCCUGGUUGUUGCUGCCACAUCUGAGUGCAGCGAGAGUGGAGGGCGAGCCAUGGACCUGGUGGUGGAGAUCUUGACGAGACUGCACCUCUCGCCCUGGCUACCAUCGUCGACUUGCCGUGGUCCAACGCCGCCACAAGGGGCUCCUGCCUUACGGGGUUGUCAUGAUCCAUUAUAUGCAACCAUGGAGUGGCCCAGUUGGAGUGGAUUUGGAUUGUACAUUAGUGCUACCAGGAAUCAUGUACUGGCAGCUUGGUAGCGUAGUAUGCAGAAACUUUGCUUCACAAAGAGCCUAAAGACAAGAUCAGAAGUUGCUCAUAUACCAGCUACCUGGAUAGUACCAUCCCUGUCCCUAACCAACUGUAAUUUGCUUUUAGAUUGUUGUUCAACUGAAACAAGUAGUACCUUAUGUGACCCUGAUGCUAUGUGCUCCUCU
Long non-coding RNA from Lolium rigidum, 2015 nucleotides. RefSeq lists it as uncharacterized. Lineage: Eukaryota; Viridiplantae; Streptophyta; Magnoliopsida; Poales; Poaceae. The record is from RefSeq and is a predicted model, not a curated record. The transcript is spliced from 10 exons.